Molecule: ribosomal RNA, 253 nt
Filed under: uncultured bacterium
Lineage: Bacteria
Description: partial 16S ribosomal RNA
Rfam family: Bacterial small subunit ribosomal RNA
Source: RNAcentral
UACAGAGGUCCCGAGCGUUGUUCGGAUUCACUGGGCGUAAAGGGUGCGUAGGUGGCAUGGUAAGUUUGAUGUGAAAGCUCAGGGCUUAACCCUGAAAUGGCAUUGAAUACUACUGUGCUGGAGGUUUGGAGGGGGGACUGGAAUUCCAGGUGUAGCGGUGAAAUGCGUAGAUAUCUGGAGGAACACCGGUGGCGAAGGCGGCAUCCUGGACCGGUAUUGACGCUGAGGCGCGAAAGCUAGGGGAGCAAACGGG